UACAGAGGGGGCAAGCGUUGUUCGGAAUUACUGGGCGUAAAGGGCGCGUAGGCGGCCUGCUAAGUCGAACGUGAAAUCCCCGGGCCCAACCCGGGAACUGCGUCCGAUACUGGCAGGCUUGAAUCCGGGAGAGGGAUGCGGAAUUCCAGGUGUAGCGGUGAAAUGCGUAGAUAUCUGGAGGAACACCGGUGGCGAAGGCGGCAUCCUGGACCGGCAUUGACGCUGAGGCGCGAAAGCCAGGGGAGCAAACGGG
RNAcentral lists this ribosomal RNA (253 nucleotides) under uncultured bacterium. Its description in RNAcentral is "partial 16S ribosomal RNA". It matches the Rfam family "Bacterial small subunit ribosomal RNA", at positions 524 to 776 of the family's 1533-position model. The record is from RNAcentral.